CAAAAACAAUUGUUGUUAUAACACAGUAAAGAAAGAAUAUUGUUGCAAAUCAUGUUGAUAAUUUUAAGUUUUAAGUAAAAAUAAUAAACUUUAAAUGAAUGUUAUAUUUUUAUUUGUUUAUGAUAAACAAAGUAGUAACAAAAUGAACUGUAACAUCCUGAAUACAACAUUCGAAUAUAAUUUAUAUAAGAAUUAAAAUAAGAAUAAGAGCGUAUCAAAUAUAUAGAAAUAUAAAUAAAUAUUUUAUCAUACUCUCAGUAAAGCCAAUUAUUUAAAUGAAUAACAAAAAGUCAUUCACUAAAAAAUUUCUAUCAAUACACUGUCACAUCAAGACUUCUGACAAUCAAGUAUGAACUUUUGUUUUUGACUGUCGAGUUUUGUGUUUUUCUCAAACACAUUUAUGCAUAAUGAUUCUAAAUCUAUCUAGGAAUGGCACAGGUGUUGACCAUGACCAUACACGAACAUCAGCGUACUUGUUAAAAAUCAUAUCAUCAGUUUUGAUCUACAAGUGAGACUUUGGCAUCAGAAACAGGGUGUUAAUACUUCCGAUACGUCAUUGUGUCAAACAACAUCUAUGUUUAAUAUUUUUUAAUCUAUUCAGGAAGGUAAGACAUGUUGACUAGACACUUUCACAAACAUUCAUAUCAUGACUUUUGUAUAUUUUCUGGUGCUUCGGGAUCCUUGAUGCCAGCACUAUUAAGUGUUGAGAAUUGAGUACCGCUCAAGCCGGUGCUAGGGGGCGUGGGGGAUGUUUUUGCACCUAUUCAUUAUUCCUCAUGUUCAGACUCAAUCAAACCGAGUCUGCAAUUAUUAUGUAAUUUUGUUGUGAUUAGUGCUUCCGAGGGAACAUUUUAUUUCCAGAUAUUUAGAUUAUAAGAGUGACCUAAUUAUUUGAGAAAGGGAUAUGAUUCAUAUGUUUUGAACGUAGUCAUAAUGUCCGACACAUGUAUGCAUAAUGAUUUUCAAAAUCAUCCAGGAAUGACAGAACUGUUGACUGGACACGAAUAUUGGUGCAUUUUUAUCAAAAUAUGUAUUCUGUAGACAGAGUGUGACCUUGACCUAAAUGCUUCGGACCUAGAUAUUGUGCAUGCCAUAUAACCCAAACGUGCUUCACAUCAAAUCUCAGUUCCAGAAUAUGUUGUAUGGCGUGUAUUUGUGUUAGUCAAUCUCAAACCAAUAAAUAUACAAAUUGAGGUGACCAAACAAACACCAAGCACAAUUUUCAAUUCAAAUAUUUGUAAAUUGAAUAUAUAUCAAAUUGUUUUGUGUUAUAAGAGAAAUGUGUCUUUAUUACAUUUAUAAUGAAGCUAACGGAAGAUUGUUCAAGCAACGGCUAUAUUCGUCGAAACAUCAUUUUUGAUAUUUUUAAUGAAUUAUAAGUUUUAAAUUGAUAAUAAUGCAUGCUACACUCGAGUUGGCACUUUUUCGUUGUGCCUGGAGUAACAUAUAGUCCGUUAAGAUUAGCGUGCGAACAUGAUUUGUACCACCAACCAGCAUGUUUAUUGACAGCACAAUUCGUGACAUAUUUAUCCCUAUCAACAUCGUAGGUGGUAAAAUGUUGACCAUUGCUGUAUGACAAUCCAGCUGUAUCACCUGUAUAAGAAAAGAUAAAAAUAAUAAACAAUUUUGAAUACACGUGUGUCUGUUUGUUGGACCCAUUUUACUU
Molecule: long non-coding RNA, 1666 nt
Organism: Ruditapes philippinarum (Manila clam)
Lineage: Eukaryota; Metazoa; Mollusca; Bivalvia; Venerida; Veneridae
Exons: 2
Source: RefSeq, a predicted model, not a curated record